AAAACUUUCAACAACGGAUCUCUUGGUUCUGGCAUCGAUGAAGAACGCAGCGAAAUGCGAUAAGUAAUGUGAAUUGCAGAAUUCAGUGAAUCAUCGAAUCUUUGAACGCACAUUGCGCCCCGCGGUAUUCCGUGGGGCAUGCCUGUUCGAGCGUCAUUA
RNAcentral lists this ribosomal RNA (159 nucleotides) under Megalaria pulverea. RNAcentral describes it as "5.8S ribosomal RNA". It matches the Rfam family "5.8S ribosomal RNA". From Rfam's summary of the family: 5.8S ribosomal RNA (5.8S rRNA) is a component of the large subunit of the eukaryotic ribosome. It is transcribed by RNA polymerase I as part of the 45S precursor that also contains 18S and 28S rRNA. Lineage: Eukaryota; Fungi; Ascomycota; Lecanoromycetes; Lecanorales; Megalariaceae. The record is from RNAcentral.